This 380-nucleotide ribosomal RNA is filed under the name uncultured bacterium. RNAcentral's name for it is "bacterial SSU rRNA". It matches the Rfam family "Bacterial small subunit ribosomal RNA", at positions 29 to 412 of the family's 1533-position model. The record is from RNAcentral.
AUUGAACGCUGGCGGAAUGCUUUACACAUGCAAGUCGAGCGGCAGCGCGGGGCAACCUGGCGGCGAGCGGCGAACGGGUGAGUAAUACAUCGGAACGUGCCCAGACGUGGGGGAUAACUACUCGAAAGAGUGGCUAAUACCGCAUACGAUCUGAGGAUGAAAGCGGGGGAUCGCAAGACCUCGCGCGUCUGGAGCGGCCGAUGGCAGAUUAGGUAGUUGGUGAGGUAAAGGCUUACCAAGCCUGCGAUCUGUAGCUGGUCUGAGAGGAUGAUCAGCCACACUGGGACUGAGACACGGCCCAGACUCCUACGGGAGGCAGCAGUGGGGAAUUUUGGACAAUGGGCGCAAGCCUGAUCCAGCCAUGCCGCGUGAGUGAAGAA